Molecule: non-coding RNA, 73 nt
Organism: Macrostomum lignano
Lineage: Eukaryota; Metazoa; Platyhelminthes; Macrostomidae
Source: Rfam
GCCCCAGUGGCGCAAUGGAUAGCGCGUCGGACUUCUAAUCCGGAGGUUGAGGGUUCGAGUCCCUCCUGGGGUG